GGCCUGAUGGUCUAGUAGUAUGAUUCCUUGUUAGGGCUCCAACCCAUAAUCGAGGAGGUCCCGGGUUCAAUUCCCGGUCAGGCCC
Non-coding RNA from Psilocybe cubensis, 85 nucleotides. NCBI's taxonomy places the organism in Eukaryota, Fungi, Basidiomycota, Agaricomycetes, Agaricales, Agrocybaceae. The record is from the annotation of a RefSeq genome assembly.